RNAcentral lists this transfer RNA (71 nucleotides) under Camelus bactrianus (Bactrian camel). It matches the Rfam family "tRNA". From Rfam's summary of the family: Transfer RNA (tRNA) molecules are approximately 80 nucleotides in length. Their secondary structure includes four short double-helical elements and three loops (D, anti-codon, and T loops). Further hydrogen bonds mediate the characteristic L-shaped molecular structure. tRNAs have two regions of fundamental functional importance: the anti-codon, which is responsible for specific mRNA codon recognition, and the 3' end, to which the tRNAs corresponding amino acid is attached (by aminoacyl-tRNA synthetases). tRNAs cope with the degeneracy of the genetic code in two manners: having more than one tRNA (with a specific anti-codon) for a particular amino acid; and 'wobble' base-pairing, i.e. permitting non-standard base-pairing at the 3rd anti-codon position. The record is from Rfam by way of RNAcentral. RNAcentral also lists the same sequence under 2 other names. Lineage: Eukaryota; Metazoa; Chordata; Mammalia; Artiodactyla; Camelidae.
GAGGGUAUAGCUCAGUGGUAGAGCACAUGCUUAGCAUGCACGAGGUCCUGGGUUCAAUCCCCAAUACCUCA